UACGUAGGUGGCAAGCGUUGUCCGGAUUUAUUGGGCGUAAAGGGUGCGUAGGUGGUUUCUUAAGUCAGAGGUGAAAGGCUACGGCUCAACCGUAGUAAGCCUUUGAAACUGGGAAACUUGAGUGCAGGAGAGGAGAGUGGAAUUCCUAGUGUAGCGGUGAAAUGCGUAGAUAUUAGGAGGAACACCAGUUGCGAAGGCGGCUCUCUGGACUGUAACUGACACUGAGGCACGAAAGCGUGGGGAGCAAACAGGAUUAGAUACCCUGGUAGUCCCUGA
This 276-nucleotide ribosomal RNA is filed under the name uncultured prokaryote. Its description in RNAcentral is "partial 16S ribosomal RNA". It matches the Rfam family "Bacterial small subunit ribosomal RNA", at positions 524 to 800 of the family's 1533-position model. The record is from RNAcentral.